AUUGAACGCUGGCGGCUGGCCUAACACAUGCAAGUCGAACGGUAACAGGAAGAAGCUUGCUUCUUUGCUGACGAGUGGCGGACGGGUGAGUAAUGUCUGGGAAACUGCCUGAUGGAGGGGGAUAACUACUGGAAACGGUAGCUAAUACCGCAUAACGUCGCAAGACCAAAGAGGGGGACCUUCGGGCCUCUUGCCAUCGGAUGUGCCCAGAUGGGAUUAGCUAGUAGGUGGGGUAACGGCUCACCUAGGCGACGAUCCCUAGCUGGUCUGAGAGGAUGACCAGCCACACUGGAACUGAGACACGGUCCAGACUCCUACGGGAGGCAGCAGUGGGGAAUAUUGCACAAUGGGCGCAAGCCUGAUGCAGCCAUGCCGCGUGUAUGAAGAAGGCCUUCGGGUUGUAAAGUACUUUCAGCGGGGAGGAAGGGAGUAAAGUUAAUACCUUUGCUCAUUGACGUUACCCGCAGAAGAAGCACCGGCUAACUCCGUG
This 490-nucleotide ribosomal RNA is filed under the name uncultured bacterium. RNAcentral describes it as "partial 16S ribosomal RNA". It matches the Rfam family "Bacterial small subunit ribosomal RNA", at positions 30 to 507 of the family's 1533-position model. The record is from RNAcentral.